UACGGAGGAUGCAAGCGUUAUCCGGAAUUACUGGGCGUAAAGCGUGCGCAGGCGGUUUGUUAAGUCCGCUGUGAAAUCCCCGAGCUCAACUUGGGAAUUGCAGUGGAUACUGGCAAGCUGGAGUAUGGUAGAGGAAGGUGGAAUUCCCGGUGUAGCAGUGAAAUGCGUAGAGAUCGGGAGGAACACCAGUGGCGAAGGCGGCCUUCUGGACCAAUACUGACGCUCAUGCACGAAAGCGUGGGGAGCAAACAGG
Molecule: ribosomal RNA, 253 nt
Filed under: uncultured bacterium
Lineage: Bacteria
Description: partial 16S ribosomal RNA
Rfam family: Bacterial small subunit ribosomal RNA
Source: RNAcentral